Molecule: long non-coding RNA, 4755 nt
Organism: Rattus norvegicus (Norway rat)
Lineage: Eukaryota; Metazoa; Chordata; Mammalia; Rodentia; Muridae
Source: RefSeq, a predicted model, not a curated record
UGGGCUGUCUGCCUGUCUACAUGUCUGUUCAUCUGACUCUACCCCUUCUCCAGGCCCUCAAAAAAAAAAAAAACAAAAAACCAACUUUAUGUCUUCGCUCAUUUUGUGUAUGAAUGGGUACGUGUGUGUUUGUGUGUGUGUGUGUGUGUGUGUGUGUGUGUGUGUGUGUGUGUCUGCAAUGUGGAGGCCACAGGUCAGCCUUGGGUGUUGCUUCCAGGAACUCUCUACCUUACUUUUUGAGACAGGGUCUCUCAUUCAGUACUGGAGCUCACACUGAUUUGGAACCUGGCCAGCUAGCCCCAGGGAUCCUCUUGUUUCUGCUUCCCCAGCUCAGGUGGAUGCCUGGGAUUAGAACUCAGGACCUUAUGCCUGUGUACCAAGUACUUUACUCCCUGGUCCCAACUAAGAUUUUUUUCUAAGCACAUAAAUUGAAUCCCAGAUGAAUAGGAACAUCACAGAAGAAGUACACUAGAAAAAAGCAAGCCCCGCAGUGGCAGAACAUGCAUUUAAUACCAGGACUCGAAAGGGAGAAGAGGGCCUAUCUCUUGAGUUUGAUGCCAUCGUGGUGUCCAGGACAGCCAGGGCUACACAGACAGGGCAACACUGACUUGAAAAACAAACAAACAAACAAACAAACAAACCAACCAAGGAGGGGUGGGGGAUCCACCCUACCAAGUAAGGUUUUCCAAAGAAGAGACCUCCAAGUCUGGGCACUCACUCCUGAGAGAUUCCCAGAGGAAAGAACUAAGGAAAACAGAUGAAUCAGAUGUUGUAUAGUUACUUGCCAUGAACUGAAAAAAUCCCCUCUUGGAAAGAAUCUUUCUAAAAAUUCGCAAAGUAACCUAGUGUGAUGGCUAUUCCUGGUUGUCAAUUUGACUCCAUCUGUAAUGAACUACAAUCCAGAAAUGGAGGGCCCAGCUAUGAUCCCGAUCUAGAGGCUGGAAGAUACAGGUUUCUGACCUGGAUCUUGACAUGGAGAUCUUGAGGCAUAGUGGCCAUGAAAAAGCUUAGGCCCAGGCAAGGUAAUACACACCUUUAAUCCCAGGAGACCGAGCCAAGCAGAUCUCUGAGUUCAAGGUCAACCUGGGACAAGGCAAAUUCCAGAUUCAGGUAUUGUGGUACACACCUUUAUUUUGGGCCACAUCUUCUGCUGGAGGCCUACAUAAGGACGUUGGAAGAAGGAAGACUCACGCUUCUUCACCUGCUUGCACUUACACAUCUGUUGGGACCUACUUCUACAGAAGGCCAGCUGAAACAACUAGCCUUGUGGGACUGAGCAACUAUUAGAUUCUUGGACUUCUCACUCACAACUGCCCAUUGUUGGGUUAGUUGGACUGCAGGCUUUGAGUCAUUACAAUAAAUUUCCUUCAUAUAUAGAGACAUUCCAUAAUUUCUGUGCUAGAGAACCCUGACUAAUACUACAAAGCUGUACCUGACAAUAUAAGGGGCUGAAUUUAAAGAGAUUCGUGAUCAUUUUGAAGCUGUUUUAUUUCACGCGUAUGGGUGAUUCGAUUUUUAAUUUUUAAGAUAGGGUCCCAUUAUGUAGCCCUGGCCCACCUGCAGCUUGCUAUGUGGCCCCGGCUGGCCUCGAGUUCACAGAGAUCUGCUGACUCUACCUCUGGAGUGCUGGGAAUAAAAUCAUGCUUCAUCAUGACUGUUUUGUAUGGGUGUUUUGGCAUGUAUAUGGAUCAUGUUUAUACCUUGUGCCACAGAAUUGAGAAUGAAAGACCCCAGCUUAACAGCAGUAACGCCAUUUUGCAAGGCUGUACUUAAGAUGACUGGUUCAGGGAAAGGUUAGAACACUGAGUACACAGCGGCUGCCAAGCAAGAUAUGUUUGGUUGAAGGCCUGGCAACAGGACGACUUCGGUUGAGCACCUGACAAUGAAAAAAAGCCCCAGGAGAGGUCCCACACCCUGGUGGGGGGCCGAGUCAGUCGUUAUGUUCCAAGAAGGUAGCUAAGAAACUUGCCCCCGGGCUGAACCCUUGGGGGGCCGAGUCAGCCGUUAUGUUUCAGGAAGGUAGCUAGGAAACUUGCCCCCGGGCUAAACCCUUGCCAUAUUAGAAUCCACCAAUUAUAUCCCUGUAACCAUGCAUCUGCUUCUGUAUGCUUGCUUCUGCUCCCCAAAAUCCUAUAAAAGCCCAUCCUUGGUUCUGUGGGGCGCGCCAGUCCCCCGAGUGACUGAAGCGCCCGCAGGUGCCUGUGCCUGUGUAUCCCGACAAUAAACCAAAUCCUCUUGCUGAUUACAUCCUGUGGUGUCUCCGUCUGGUCUUUGGAGUUAGAGGAUCUCCAUCCCGAGGGAAAGUUCUCCCUGAGAGCUUUUCAUUUGGUGCAUUGGCCGGGAAAGGAGAUCCUCCACCCAGGGACCACCGACCACCCACUGGGAGGUAAGCCGGCCGGCGUCUGUCUGUCUGUCUGAUUUUGUCUCGUUCUGCCUUAUUCUGUCUGUUCUGUGAGCGCUCAGCCAGGUUCUGUGAGCGCUCAGCUAGGUCUGUUCUGUGAGCGCUCAGCCAGGUCUGUUCUGUGAGUGCUCAGCCAGGUCUGUUCUGUGAGCGCUCAGCCAGGCUGUUUGGAAUUUGGGCGGGACGAAGAAGGAGCUGACGAGCUCGGACUUCUCGCCCCGCAGCCCUGGAAGACGUUCCAAGGGUGUUAGGGGCCCGACUUUUCGGGGCCCAAUCUGGGAGAGGAGAAAGAUCCGGACUAACGGCACUUCUGUCUGUAGUUUUGGCUUUCAGAGGGCCCCGGACCUUUGCCACCUCCAUCUGACUUUUUGCUUUCAGUUUGGUACCAAAGCCGUGCAGCACGCCUGUCUGUUGUUUGUUUGACUGUUGGUGUUGUUUGUUUUCUCUGUGUUCUAAUCUUCCUUAGAACUAACAUGGGACAGUCCCUAACAAUGCCCCUAAGUCUCACUCUUGAUCAUUGGGAAGACGUCCACGACCAGGCACACAACCAGUCCGUCGAGGUUAAAAAAAAAAGGAAAAUGGCAGACUAUCUGCACAUCUGAGUGGCCCACUUUCGGAGCGGGAUGGCCAGUGAAUGACACAUUUAAUAAGAUCAUUAUUUUACAGGUUAAAGAUCGGGCCGUCCACGGACAUCCUGACCAGGUUUCUUAUAUUAUCACUUGAGAGAGUCUCGCCUUAAACCCCCCCCCGGGCGGAACCCUUCGUGGACCCGAAUUGGCCUCCCCUCAACCCCCAGCCUGUCCCCUCGGCCCCGCCCGGUCCGCCGGCCACGUCUUUCUCUCUCUACUUUUGUGAACUAAGAAACCUGUCCUCCCGGCAGACCCAAACUCCCCUCUCAUAAAUCUUCUCUCUGACAGGCCCGGCUAAAACGGAGGAGGCAGAGCCGCCGGCCAGAUCAGUUGCCGGGCCACAGUCUGAUAAGGGUUUUUCCCAUCGCAGGGAGAUUGCACAAUAAGCGCGAGGUGAUGCCAGAUUCAACCUCCCAGGCUUUAACCGGUGGCCAGACCCAAUACUGGCCGUUUUCAGCAGCUGACAUUUACAAUUGGAAACAACACAACCCUUCUUUCUCCAAAGAUCCGGUGACACUCACCGACCUAAUAGAAUCUGUUUUACUUACCCACCAGCCUACUUGGGAUGACUGCCAACAGCUCUUACAGGCCCUCUUAACCUCAGAAAAAAAAAAAAAAAACAAAGAGUGUUCCUAGAGGCCAGAAAGCAUGUUCUGGGAGAUGAUGGGCGUCCCACCCAGCUGCCUGAGGACCAAACUGGGAUUUUAAUACAGCUGAAGCCCUUCUCUGAGGGCCCAUUUACAGGCCCUACAGAUUGUGCAGAGAGACGUCUGGAGACCUUUGGCCGCUGCUUACCAGGACAAGCUUGAGCAUCCGGUGGUGCCACACCCGUUCCAGAUUGGAGACACCGUGUGGGUGCACAGACACCAGACCAAGAAUCUCGAGCCACGGUGAAAAGGACCCUACACCGUCCUCCUGACUACCCCGACCGCCCUAAAGGUAGACGGAGUCUCGGCUUAGAUCCACACACCACACGUCAAGGCAGUCCGGUCUGAGGAAUUGACUAAUCACAACACUACACCCCAGACAUGGAGAGUUCAGCGCACUCCAAACCCCUUAAAGUUAAAACUCCUACGUGGCUCCUCCUAGCCCUUUUGUGGCCUAGAGUCAGUGAGGGAAUAAGCCCCCACCAGACAGAAAUUUCUUGACCAAGUCGAGUGAAAGAUUUCACUCAAAGUUAGCAAAAAAAAAUGGGGGAAUGAAAGACCCCAGCUUAACAGCAGUAACGCCAUUUUGCAAGGCUGUACUUAAGAUGACUGGUUCAGGGAAAGGUUAGAACACUGAGUACACAGCGGCUGCCAAGCAAGAUAUGUUUGGUUGAAGGCCUGGCAACAGGACGACUUCGGUUGAGCACCUGACAAUGAAAAAAAGCCCCAGGAGAGGUCCCACACCCUGGUGGGGGGCCGAGUCAGUCGUUAUGUUCCAAGAAGGUAGCUAAGAAACUUGCCCCCGGGCUGAACCCUUGGGGGGCCGAGUCAGCCGUUAUGUUUCAGGAAGGUAGCUAGGAAACUUGCCCCCGGGCUAAACCCUUGCCAUAUUAGAAUCCACCAAUUAUAUCCCUGUAACCAUGCAUCUGCUUCUGUAUGCUUGCUUCUGCUCCCCAAAAUCCUAUAAAAGCCCAUCCUUGGUUCUGUGGGGCGCGCCAGUCCCCCGAGUGACUGAAGCGCCUGCAGGUGCCUGUGCCUGUGUAUCCCGACAAUAAACCAAAUCCUCUUGCUGAUUACA